UACGUAGGUGACAAGCGUUGUCCGGAUUUAUUGGGCGUAAAGAGCGUGUAGGCGGCCAGACAGGUCCGUUGUGAAAACUCGAGGCUUAACCUCGAGACGUCGAUGGAAACCGUUUGGCUAGAGUCCGGAAGAGGAGAGUGGAAUUCCUGGUGUAGCGGUGAAAUGCGCAGAUAUCAGGAAGAACACCCGUGGCGAAGGCGGCUCUCUGGGACGGUACUGACGCUGAGACGCGAAAGCGUGGGGAGCGAACAGG
This 253-nucleotide ribosomal RNA is filed under the name uncultured bacterium. RNAcentral describes it as "partial 16S ribosomal RNA". It matches the Rfam family "Bacterial small subunit ribosomal RNA", at positions 524 to 776 of the family's 1533-position model. The record is from RNAcentral.